Molecule: ribosomal RNA, 496 nt
Filed under: Mesomexovis aff. punctatus 4scrp
Lineage: Eukaryota; Metazoa; Arthropoda; Arachnida; Scorpiones; Vaejovidae
Description: partial 16S ribosomal RNA
Rfam family: Bacterial large subunit ribosomal RNA
Source: RNAcentral
AAACAUGGUUUUUAGAAAUUAUUAAAAAUCUAGCCUGCUCAAUGCUUAGUAAAUAGCCGCAGUAUUUUGACUGUGCAAAGGUAGCAUAAUCACUUGUCUUUUAAUUGAAGACUGGAAUGAAAGGUUUGACUAAAUAUUCUUGUCUUAUAAUAAUAUUUUGAAAUUUAUAAUUUAGUAAAAAAGCUAAAAUUAUUUAUAGGGACGAGAAGACCCUAUCAAGUUUUACAAUCAAAAAUUUAUUUUCAAAAUAAAUUAAAAAUUGUUUUGCUGGGGCAGCAGAUAAAAAUUUUUUAUUUAAAAAUUAUGACAAAUAAAUCUUGAAAAAUCAAAAAUUUUUUAAUUAAGAAUAAAUUACUGUAGGGAUAACAGCAUAAUUUUUUUAAAGAGUUCUUAUCAUCAGAAAAGUUUGUGACCUCGAUGUUGGAUUAAAAUUCCUAAUUCGUGCAAUAAUGAAAUAAGGAAGUCUGUUCGACUUUUAAAAUUUUCCAUGAUCUGA